GACGAACGCUGGCGGCGGGCUUAACACAUGCAAGUCGAACGAACGCCUUCGGGCGUUAGUGGCGCACGGGUGAGUAACACGUAGGCAAUCUACCCUCGGCUGGGGAAUAACCAGGGGGAAACCCUGGCUAAUACCGCAUAACAUCUGGACGUCGCCUGGCGACCAGAUCAAAGCUUUAUGUGGCCGAGGAUGAGCCUGCGUCGGAUUAGCUAGUUGGUGGGGUAACGGCCUACCAAGGCGACGAUCCGUAGCGGGUCUGAGAGGAUGAUCCGCCACACUGGCACUGAGACACGGGCCAGACUCCUACGGGAGGCAGCAGUGAGGAAUAUUGCGCAAUGGACGAAAGUCUGACGCAGCCACGCCGCGUGCAGGAAGACACCCCUCUGGGGCGU
Molecule: ribosomal RNA, 392 nt
Filed under: uncultured bacterium
Lineage: Bacteria
Description: bacterial SSU rRNA
Rfam family: Bacterial small subunit ribosomal RNA
Source: RNAcentral